UACGGGAGGCAGCAGUGGGGAAUAUUGCACAAUGGGCGCAAGCCUGAUGCAGCCAUGCCGCGUGUAUGAAGAAGGCCUUCGGGUUGUAAAGUACUUUCAGUCGUGAGGAAGGUGUUAAGGUUAAUAACCUUAGCAAUUGACGUUAGCGACAGAAGAAGCACCGGCUAACUCCGUGCCAGCAGCCGCGGUAAUACGGAGGGUGCGAGCGUUAAUCGGAAUUACUGGGCGUAAAGGGCACGCAGGCGGUUAAUUAAGUUGGAUGUGAAAUCCCCGGGCUUAACCUGGGAAUGGCAUUCAAGACUGGUUAGCUAGAGUCUUGUAGAGGGGGUAGAAUUCCGAUGUGUAGCGGUGAAAUGCGUAGAGAUGUGGAGGAAUACCGGUGGCGAAGGCGGCCCCUGGACAAAGACUGACGCUCAUGUGCGAAAGCGUGGGGGCAAACAGGGAUUAGAUACC
RNAcentral lists this ribosomal RNA (453 nucleotides) under uncultured bacterium. RNAcentral describes it as "bacterial SSU rRNA". It matches the Rfam family "Bacterial small subunit ribosomal RNA", at positions 340 to 786 of the family's 1533-position model. The record is from RNAcentral.